This is a long non-coding RNA of Myripristis murdjan (pinecone soldierfish), 488 nucleotides long. RefSeq lists it as uncharacterized. The transcript is spliced from 3 exons. The record is from RefSeq and is a predicted model, not a curated record. Lineage: Eukaryota; Metazoa; Chordata; Actinopteri; Holocentriformes; Holocentridae.
AUGACAUGUUUGUUCAACAGCAUGCUCGUUGUAAAUGUGGGGUCAUGGUACAGAUGUGUCCACUCUGAUGUCAAGUACAGAACACAUGUAAAGAUGAAUGUGAACAAUCAUGGCAAAAAGAGCGGAUCUGAGAAAAAAAAAUCAGAAUUGGGUCACUUUCAACUGGUUUUGUGAAUGUAGCCAAAGUGUCCUUGAGCAAAACACUGAAACUCUCCAGAGGCUCACACCCUGACUAACUCUGAGCUUUGUGCAAAACGUGUAUUUAAAGCAUUCCCAGAGAUGUUAGUGAAAUGGUACAUUACAUUGUGUAAUGUGGUGAUUGAUUUCCCUGGAUUCCUACAAAAAUGAAAAAAAGGUUCUUUGUUGGUUCCAUGCAUUUAAGAAGUCUGGCACAAACUUGUUCGACCUUUUUAUUGCAGGCUUGUGAUUUGUUCAUGGUUAUUAAGCACUUAAUGUUUAAUGAAAUAAAGAUUUCCUCUAUUUUGAAA